RNAcentral lists this ribosomal RNA (264 nucleotides) under uncultured bacterium. RNAcentral describes it as "partial 16S ribosomal RNA". It matches the Rfam family "Bacterial small subunit ribosomal RNA", at positions 335 to 615 of the family's 1533-position model. The record is from RNAcentral.
CCCCCUACGGGGCGCAGCAGUGGGGGAUAUUGCACAAUGGGGGAAACCCUGAUGCAGCGACGCCGCGUGUGGGAAGACGGUCCUCUGGAUUGUAAACCACUGUCCCCAGGGACGAAAAUGACGGUACCUGGGGAGGAAGCUCCGGCUAACUACGUGCCAGCAGCCGCGGUAAUACGAGGGAUGCGAGCGUUAUCCGGAUUUAUUGGGUUUAAAGGGUGCGUAGGCGGUUUUUUAAGUUAGUGGUCAAACGUCGGGGCUUCACCU